RNAcentral lists this ribosomal RNA (253 nucleotides) under uncultured bacterium. RNAcentral describes it as "partial 16S ribosomal RNA". It matches the Rfam family "Bacterial small subunit ribosomal RNA", at positions 524 to 776 of the family's 1533-position model. The record is from RNAcentral.
UACGGGGGGAGCAAGCGUUGUUCGGAUUUACUGGGCGUAAAGGGCGCGUAGGCGGCGCGACAAGUCACUUGUGAAAUCUCCCGGCUCAACCGGGAGCGGCCAAGUGAUACUGUCGCGCUGGAGUGCAGAAGGGGCGACCGGAAUUCUCGGUGUAGCGGUGAAAUGCGUAGAUAUCGAGAGGAACACCUGUGGCGAAGGCGGGUCGCUGGGCUGACACUGACGCUGAGGCGCGAAAGCUAGGGGAGCGAACGGG